Transfer RNA from Xylona heveae TC161, 79 nucleotides. It matches the Rfam family "tRNA". Rfam says of the family: Transfer RNA (tRNA) molecules are approximately 80 nucleotides in length. Their secondary structure includes four short double-helical elements and three loops (D, anti-codon, and T loops). The record is from Rfam. Lineage: Eukaryota; Fungi; Ascomycota; Xylonomycetes; Xylonales; Xylonaceae.
GGCAAGAUGGCCGAGUGGUUAAGGCGCUGGAUCCAGGUUCCAGUGGGAAACCGCGUGGGUUCGAGUCCCACUCUUGUCA